Molecule: unclassified non-coding RNA, 220 nt
Filed under: plant metagenome
Description: partial contains small subunit ribosomal RNA, internal transcribed spacer 1, and 5.8S ribosomal RNA
Source: RNAcentral
UCUCCGUAGGUGAACCUGCGGAGGGAUCAUUACAGAGUUCGUGCCCUCACGGGUAGAUCUCCCACCCUGUGUUAUUAUACCUUUGUUGCUUUGGCGGGCCGCCCUCGGCUACCGGCCCCGGCUGGUACGCGCCCGCCAGAGGACCCCAAACUCUGAAUGUUAGCGUCGUCUGAGUACUAUACAAUAGUUAAAACUUUCAACAACGGAUCUCUUGGUUCUG